UACGAAGGGGGCUAGCGUUGCUCGGAAUCACUGGGCGUAAAGCGCACGUAGGCGGCUUCUUAAGUCAGGUGUGAAAUCCUGGAGCUCAACUCCAGAACUGCCUUUGAUACUGAGAAGCUUGAGUUCGGGAGAGGUGAGUGGAACUGCGAGUGUAGAGGUGAAAUUCGUAGAUAUUCGCAAGAACACCAGUGGCGAAGGCGGCUCACUGGCCCGAUACUGACGCUGAGGUGCGAAAGCGUGGGGAGCAAACAGG
This 253-nucleotide ribosomal RNA is filed under the name uncultured bacterium. RNAcentral's name for it is "partial 16S ribosomal RNA". It matches the Rfam family "Bacterial small subunit ribosomal RNA", at positions 524 to 776 of the family's 1533-position model. The record is from RNAcentral.